RNAcentral lists this ribosomal RNA (617 nucleotides) under Pseudomonas sp. c128(2012). Its description in RNAcentral is "bacterial SSU rRNA". It matches the Rfam family "Bacterial small subunit ribosomal RNA", at positions 67 to 679 of the family's 1533-position model. Lineage: Bacteria; Pseudomonadati; Pseudomonadota; Gammaproteobacteria; Pseudomonadales; Pseudomonadaceae. The record is from RNAcentral.
CGGAUGACGGGAGCUUGCUCCUUGAUUCAGCGGCGGACGGGUGAGUAAUACCUAGGAAUCUGCCUGAUAGUGGGGGACAACGUUUCGAAAGGAACGCUAAUACCGCAUACGUCCUACGGGAGAAAGCAGGGGACCUUCGGGCCUUGCGCUAUCAGAUGAGCCUAGGUCGGAUUAGCUAGUUGGUGAGGUAAUGGCUCACCAAGGCGACGAUCCGUAACUGGUCUGAGAGGAUGAUCAGUCACACUGGAACUGAGACACGGUCCAGACUCCUACGGGAGGCAGCAGUGGGGAAUAUUGGACAAUGGGCGAAAGCCUGAUCCAGCCAUGCCGCGUGUGUGAAGAAGGUCUUCGGAUUGUAAAGCACUUUAAGUUGGGAGGAAGGGCAGUAAGCUAAUACCUUGCUGUUUUGACGUUACCGACAGAAUAAGCACCGGCUAACUCUGUGCCAGCAGCCGCGGUAAUACAGAGGGUGCAAGCGUUAAUCGGAAUUACUGGGCGUAAAGCGCGCGUAGGUGGUUCGUUAAGUUGGAUGUGAAAUCCCCGGGCUCAACCUGGGAACUGCAUCCAAAACUGGCGAGCUAGAGUAGGGCAGAGGGUGGUGGAAUUUCCUGUGUAGC